Miniopterus natalensis is the source of this 900-nucleotide non-coding RNA. The record is from RefSeq and is a predicted model, not a curated record. NCBI's taxonomy places the organism in Eukaryota, Metazoa, Chordata, Mammalia, Chiroptera, Miniopteridae.
GCUGUUGGGCUGCGGUUCCCGCGCGUCUGGAGUUUAAAGGUCUGUGGCCCCGGCGCAGGGCCGCCCUCCGGGUGCCCCACUCCCAGCACCGGCUCUGCGGGGCCGCAGCCUUCCCACGCGAGUUUUCAGAAUGCGCCCAGAGGGGCUCAGUUUCUUAACCGGCUUCCGUCUGCUCGGCUGUUGACCUCACUGCGAAUUGACCCGCCCUCGCCCCCGACUCCCCCGGCUUAGGUGGGCAUCAGUCCGGACCUUCGUCACCCAGGCCCUUGGUUGUCCAUCUUUGUGAAAUGCACUAGUUAAGUGUUUCCCGAGGUCCCCGUGUGCAGCGCGCGGCGCGAGGGGGCACGAGCUCCGUCUGCUCUUACACGCGGGGCGGUGCCCAAAGUCGGCCCGGGGACCCCCGCCCCCGCCGGCGGUUUCCCGCAGUCCCGCGGCCUCUGCAGCCGUGCGUCUGGACCCGCGUGGAGCUCCGGACUCCCCGCGGGGUCCCUGUAUUCCAGGCUCUGUCUGCCCGCGCCGGCCUCAGGACCCCACCGCGAGCCACAGACGCGGGACAAUCUCGCGAGUCGGAGCCGGGCGGGUCAGCCCCGGGGCCCGCGCGGGCUCUGAAGCUCCGCACAGCAGAUGGGGCGAGCCUCAUGCUCGCUGCGACGGGAAAGAGGUGCCGCCGUCCGUUUCGGUGGUGGCUGUAUUGCCGGAACCUAGCCUGACUCGUGAUAUGCAGAAUAUCUCUAGCAAGAUACACAAGAAAGUGAUACAUCUGCCAAGGAGGAGAAUUAUGUGGCUGGGGAAUGGAAGUGAGAAGAUUUCAAAAGAUACAGCAUAUAACUCUUUGUAUCUUUUGAACUUUGAACCAAGUGAAAGUAUCUUUUCAAUAAAUAAAAUAGUAUAUAGCUAACA